GAGUGGGCGGGUUCUUGCCGGGGUCCGGGCUCCCAGAGGGCUCUGGGGUGGUACCCUGCCAGCCUGAUACGAGGCGUGGGCUUUGGGUUGGAAGUGGGCAGCAAGGCAAGAAGAGCUCAAACGGGUCAAGUAGCUGGUGAGGUGGGAUUCGAACCAGGUAUCUGACGCCUGCAUCGCUCUGGCAUGAUACUGUCCAUAUUGAGAACGGAUGUAUCAUAUCCCUAGCCCAGUCUAGGAAAGGUCAAGGAAAAAAAACGAAUCUCUAGGGGUCCACCACUCACUGUCAUUUCGAUGAUCUGGAAGAAACCAAAAGGCCCUGGCCUGACUUACCGAUAGCGCAGGGGUCUGAAGGCAUUGCUGCUACAUUCAGUUUAUUUUUGGAUGAACUGUAAAGAAGAGUCUACCUUAACUUUAAGAUGUGGUACAGGUCUUCCGUGGCGGUCCGGUGGCUAAGACUCCGUGCUCUCAAGGCAGGGGCCUGGGUUCCAUCCCUGGUCCAACAGUUGGAUCCCACAUGCUGCAACUAAAGAUCAGCUAAAGAUUCCACAUGCCGCCAGAAAGAUCGAAGAUCCCAAGUGCUACAACUGGAAAGAAAAGAAAAGAAAAAAAAAAAAACUCAAAAAGGUGUCAUUCAGUAAAUACCUUUUGAAUGCCUGCUGUCUUCUUCUAGAUACUGGGGGUUUGCCUGUACCUCUUGAAGCUUUGAUUCUAGUGGAGUAGAUGGAUAUUAAGU
Bos taurus (domestic cattle) is the source of this 733-nucleotide long non-coding RNA. NCBI's taxonomy places the organism in Eukaryota, Metazoa, Chordata, Mammalia, Artiodactyla, Bovidae. The record is from Ensembl.